Molecule: ribosomal RNA, 115 nt
Filed under: Phascolarctos cinereus (koala)
Lineage: Eukaryota; Metazoa; Chordata; Mammalia; Diprotodontia; Phascolarctidae
Source: RNAcentral
GAGUCAUACCACUCUGAAUGAGCCUAGUCUUGUCUGAUCUCAGAGGCUUAGCAGGGUCAGCCGUGGGUAGUACUGGAACAGGGGACUAUGUAGUAAAUACUGGGUGCUAUAGGCU